Molecule: long non-coding RNA, 303 nt
Filed under: Lathyrus oleraceus (garden pea)
Lineage: Eukaryota; Viridiplantae; Streptophyta; Magnoliopsida; Fabales; Fabaceae
Description: Pisum sativum (pea) long non-coding RNA (PSAT_LNC037535)
Source: RNAcentral
AAAAAGAAAGAACAAAAAAGAAAGGAAAUAAAACAAUAAAAAAAAGCCCUAAAGAAAACAAAAAUAAAAUAAAAAAGGCCCAAAUGAGAUGCACCAAACAGUAAAGUCUGGGAGGUGUAAGGAGCAACAGAAAGAGGCUCCAAAAUGCUAAAUAAGCCAAUGACGCUAAGGGAGAUCACAUGGUCUCCUAGUCAAACCGUUGACUCGGGGCUUCAAUUAUGACCAUUAGAUAUGGAUAUCUGAUUUGGUCCAUUAAUCAUAAAGGAAGAAAAAUGCAGGAGCACGCGAGCUGCUGUGAGACGC